This 301-nucleotide ribosomal RNA is filed under the name uncultured bacterium. Its description in RNAcentral is "partial 16S ribosomal RNA". It matches the Rfam family "Bacterial small subunit ribosomal RNA", at positions 509 to 808 of the family's 1533-position model. The record is from RNAcentral.
CAGUAGCCGCGGUAAUACGUAGGUCCCGAGCGUUGUCCGGAUUUAUUGGGCGUAAGGCGAGCGCAGGCGGAUUGAUAAGUCUGAAGUUAAAGGCUGUGGCUCAACCAUAGUUCGCUUUGGAAACUGUCAAACUUGAGUGCAGAAGGGGAGAGUGGAAUUCCAUGUGUAGCGGUGAAAUGCGUAGAUAUAUGGAGGAACACCGGUGGCGAAAGCGGCUCUCUGGCCUGUAACUGACGCUGAGGCUCGAAAGCGUGGGGAGCGAACAGGAUUAGAUACCCCAGUAGUCCCUGUCUCUUAUACA